This 452-nucleotide ribosomal RNA is filed under the name uncultured bacterium. RNAcentral describes it as "bacterial SSU rRNA". It matches the Rfam family "Bacterial small subunit ribosomal RNA", at positions 328 to 793 of the family's 1533-position model. The record is from RNAcentral.
UGACAGUACUCCGUACGGGAGGCAGCAGUGGGGAAUAUUGGACAAUCGGGGGCAACCCUGAUCCAGCCAUGCCGCGUGAGUGAUGAAGGCCUUAGGGUUGUAAAGCUCUUUCAGCGAGGAGGAUAAUGACGUUACUCGCAGAAGAAGCCCCGGCUAACUUCGUGCCAGCAGCCGCGGUAAUACGAAGGGGCUAGCGUUGUUCGGAAUCACUGGGCGUAAAGCGCACGUAGGCGGAUUGAUAAGGUUAGGGGUGAAAUCCCCGGGGCUCAACCUCGGAACUGCCUUUGAUACUGUCAGUCUUGAGUCCGAGAGAGGUGAGUGGAACUCCGAGUGUAGAGGUGAAAUUCGUAGAUAUUCGGAAGAACACCAGUGGCGAAGGCGGCUCACUGGCUCGGUACUGACGCUGAGGUGCGAAAGCGUGGGGAGCCAAACAGGAUUAGAUACCCUGGUAG